UACGUAGGGGGCAAGCGUUGUCCGGAUUUACUGGGCGUAAAGAGCGUGUAGGCGGUCCGGUAAGUCCGCUGUGAAAGUCGGGGGCUCAACCCUCGAAUGCCGGUGGAUACUGUCGGGCUAGAGUGCGGAAGAGGCGAGUGGAAUUCCUGGUGUAGCGGUGAAAUGCGCAGAUACCAGGAGGAACACCUAUUGCGAAGGCAGCUCGCUGGGACGUUACUGACGCUGAGACGCGAAAGCGUGGGGAGCAAACAGG
This 253-nucleotide ribosomal RNA is filed under the name uncultured bacterium. RNAcentral describes it as "partial 16S ribosomal RNA". It matches the Rfam family "Bacterial small subunit ribosomal RNA", at positions 524 to 776 of the family's 1533-position model. The record is from RNAcentral.